UACGUAGGGUGCGAGCGUUGUCCGGAAUUACUGGGCGUAAAGAGUUCGUAGGCGGUUUGUCGCGUCGUCCGUGAAAACUUGGGGCUCAACCCCAAGCUGCGGGCGAUACGGGCAGACUUGAGUACUGCAGGGGAGACUGGAAUUCCUGGUGUAGCGGUGAAAUGCGCAGAUAUCAGGAGGAACACCAGCAGCGAAGGCGGCGCUCUGGGCUGGAACUGACGCUGAGGAGCGAAAGCGUGGGGAGCGAACAGG
Molecule: ribosomal RNA, 252 nt
Filed under: uncultured bacterium
Lineage: Bacteria
Description: partial 16S ribosomal RNA
Rfam family: Bacterial small subunit ribosomal RNA
Source: RNAcentral